Molecule: ribosomal RNA, 460 nt
Filed under: uncultured bacterium
Lineage: Bacteria
Description: partial 16S ribosomal RNA
Rfam family: Bacterial small subunit ribosomal RNA
Source: RNAcentral
CCUACGGGUGGCAGCAGUGAGGAAUAUUGGUCAAUGGGCGCGAGCCUGAACCAGCCAAGUCGCGUGAGGGAUGAAGGUUCUAUGGAUCGUAAACCUCUUUUAUAAGGGAAUAAAGGGUGGGACGUGUCCUAUUUUGUAUGUACCUUAUGAAUAAGGAUCGGCUAACUCCGUGCCAGCAGCCGCGGUAAUACGGAGGAUCCGAGCGUUAUCCGGAUUUAUUGGGUUUAAAGGGUGCGUAGACGGCCUUUUAAGUCAGCGGUGAAAGCCUGUGGCUCAACCAUAGAAUUGCCGUUGAAACUGGGCGGCUUGAGUAUGUUUGAGGUAGGCGGAAUGCGUGGUGUAGCGGUGAAAUGCUUAGAUAUCACGCAGAACCCCGAUUGCGAAGGCAGCCUGCCAGGCCAUGACUGACGCUGAUGCACGAAAGCGUGGGGAUCAAACAGGAUUAGAUACCCCAGUAGUC